This 207-nucleotide ribosomal RNA is filed under the name uncultured bacterium. RNAcentral's name for it is "partial 16S ribosomal RNA". It matches the Rfam family "Bacterial small subunit ribosomal RNA", at positions 568 to 774 of the family's 1533-position model. The record is from RNAcentral.
CAUGUAGGCGGAUUAAUAAGUUUGAAGUGAAAUCCUAUAGCUUAACUAUAGAACUGCUUUGAAAACUGUUAAUCUAGAAUGUGGGAGAGGUAGAUGGAAUUUCUGGUGUAGGGGUAAAAUCCGUAGAGAUCAGAAGGAAUACCGAUUGCGAAGGCGAUCUACUGGAACAUUAUUGACGCUGAGAUGCGAAAGCGUGGGGGGCAAACA